UACAAACCCCAGCCACAUUCCUCCUGGCAGCUGCCAAUGAAAAAUACGGGUUUCAACAGGGUCACUCGUCAUUGGAGGCUGAGGAGCUGCCCCUCAAAGUGAUUUGGUAGCUUUACAUAC
Molecule: small nucleolar RNA, 120 nt
Filed under: Sorex araneus (European shrew)
Lineage: Eukaryota; Metazoa; Chordata; Mammalia; Eulipotyphla; Soricidae
Description: Small nucleolar RNA SNORA68 (ENSSARG00000020110.1)
Source: RNAcentral